RNAcentral lists this ribosomal RNA (254 nucleotides) under uncultured bacterium. RNAcentral describes it as "partial 16S ribosomal RNA". It matches the Rfam family "Bacterial small subunit ribosomal RNA", at positions 524 to 776 of the family's 1533-position model. The record is from RNAcentral.
UACGUAGGGUGCGAGCGUUAAUCGGAAUUACUGGGCGUAAAGCGUGCGCAGGCGGUUGUGCAAGACAGAUGUGAAAUCCCCCGGGCUUAACCUGGGAAUUGCAUUUGUGACUGCACGGCUAGAGUGUGUCAGAGGGAGGUAGAAUUCCACGUGUAGCAGUGAAAUGCGUAGAUAUGUGGAGGAAUACCGAUGGCGAAGGCAGCCUCCUGGGAUAACACUGACGCUCAUGCACGAAAGCGUGGGGAGCAAACAGG